Molecule: ribosomal RNA, 508 nt
Filed under: uncultured bacterium
Lineage: Bacteria
Description: partial 16S ribosomal RNA
Rfam family: Bacterial small subunit ribosomal RNA
Source: RNAcentral
GACGAACGCUGGCGGCGUGCCUAAUACAUGCAAGUCGAACGCUUCUUUCCUCCCGAGUGCUUGCACUCAAUUGGAAAGAGGAGUGGCGGACGGGUGAGUAACACGUGGGUAACCUACCCAUCAGCGGGGGAUAACACUUGGAAACAGGUGCUAAUACCGCAUAACAGUUUAUGCCGCAUGGCAUAAGAGUGAAAGGCGCUUUCGGGUGUCGCUGAUGGAUGGACCCGCGGUGCAUUAGCUAGUUGGUGAGGUAACGGCUCACCAAGGCCACGAUGCAUAGCCGACCUGAGAGGGUGAUCGGCCACACUGGGACUGAGACACGGCCCAGACUCCUACGGGAGGCAGCAGUAGGGAAUCUUCGGCAAUGGACGAAAGUCUGACCGAGCAACGCCGCGUGAGUGAAGAAGGUUUUCGGAUCGUAAAACUCUGUUGUUAGAGAAGAACAAGGACGUUAGUAACUGAACGUCCCCUGACGGUAUCUAACCAGAAAGCCACGGCUAACUACGUG